AGGUCCCGCCUGCCCUGUGACUAAGUUUAACGGCCGCGGUACCUUAACCGUGCAAAGGUAGCACAAUCAAUUGUUCUCUAAAUAAGGACUAGUAUGAAUGGCACCACGAGGGCUCAACUGUCUCCCCAGUCUAAUCAAUGAAACUGAUCUUCUCGUGAAGAAGCGAGAAUUAUAAUAUAAGACGAGAAGACCCCAUGGAGCUUUAAACCCACCACCACCUACUUACAAUAUGCCCCUACACCCAGUAAGACUGUUCUUGGUGGUUUUCAACUGGGGUGAUUCUGGAGUAAAAUAUAUCCUCCAGGCUGAACGGACAAACCACCCUUAUUUAAGAACGACACCUCAAAAAAUCAAAAACUUGACACCCUUUGACCCAUAUUUUGACCAGCGAACCAAGUUACCCUGGGGAUAACAGCGCAAUCCAUUUUAAGAGCCCCUAUCGACAAAUGGGUUUACGACCUCGAUGUUGGAUCGGGAUAUCCUAGCAGCGCAGCCGUUGCUAAAGGUUUGUUUGUUCAACAAUUU
Molecule: ribosomal RNA, 525 nt
Filed under: Acanthixalus spinosus (African wart frog)
Lineage: Eukaryota; Metazoa; Chordata; Amphibia; Anura; Hyperoliidae
Description: partial 16S ribosomal RNA
Rfam family: Bacterial large subunit ribosomal RNA
Source: RNAcentral